ACAAAGUAAAUAGUUAUUGGGGGAUCAAUAAAAAUAAAAUUUCUCAAGAGCAAUUUUUAAAGGGGACACAAAUUAUACAGCCAAAAUUGUACUGU
Molecule: long non-coding RNA, 95 nt
Organism: Sander lucioperca (pikeperch)
Lineage: Eukaryota; Metazoa; Chordata; Actinopteri; Perciformes; Percidae
Exons: 3
Source: RefSeq, a predicted model, not a curated record